Molecule: transfer RNA, 69 nt
Filed under: Daphnia tibetana
Lineage: Eukaryota; Metazoa; Arthropoda; Branchiopoda; Diplostraca; Daphniidae
Description: tRNA-Ser
Rfam family: tRNA
About the family: Transfer RNA (tRNA) molecules are approximately 80 nucleotides in length.
Source: RNAcentral
GAUUGUUUAGUCUAAUAAAGACUCUUGUUUUGAAAACAAGCUAUAAAAGUUUAAAUCUUUUAACAUUCU